RNAcentral lists this transfer RNA (61 nucleotides) under Ellobium chinense. RNAcentral describes it as "tRNA-Arg". The record is from RNAcentral. Lineage: Eukaryota; Metazoa; Mollusca; Gastropoda; Ellobiida; Ellobiidae.
GCACAGGAAGCGAACUAUCGCACUAAGUUUCGGCCUUAGCUUUGAACAAUUUCCCUGUGUU